This 424-nucleotide ribosomal RNA is filed under the name uncultured cyanobacterium. RNAcentral's name for it is "bacterial SSU rRNA". It matches the Rfam family "Bacterial small subunit ribosomal RNA", at positions 356 to 795 of the family's 1533-position model. Lineage: Bacteria; Bacillati; Cyanobacteriota. The record is from RNAcentral.
GGGGAAUUUUCCGCAAUGGGCGAAAGCCUGACGGAGCAAUACCGCGUGAGGGAGGAAGGCUUUUGGGUUGUAAACCUCUUUUCUUAAGGAAGAAGAUCUGACGGUACUUAAGGAAUCAGCAUCGGCUAACUCCGUGCCAGCAGCCGCGGUAAUACGGAGGAUGCAAGCGUUAUCCGGAAUUAUUGGGCGUAAAGAGUCCGCAGGUGGUCAGACAAGUCUGCUGUCAAAGACCAGAGCUCAACUCCGGAAAGGCAGUGGAAACUGGGAGGCUAGAGUCCGGGAGGGGUAGAGGGAAUUCCCAGUGUAGCGGUGAAAUGCGUAGAGAUUGGGAAGAACACCGGUGGCGAAGGCGCUCUACUGGACCGGAACUGACACUGAGGGACGAAAGCUAGGGGAGCGAAAGGGAUUAGAUACCCCUGUAGUC